This is a long non-coding RNA of Oreochromis niloticus (Nile tilapia), 361 nucleotides long. RefSeq lists it as uncharacterized. The transcript has 2 exons. Lineage: Eukaryota; Metazoa; Chordata; Actinopteri; Cichliformes; Cichlidae. The record is from RefSeq and is a predicted model, not a curated record.
AGUAAUUCAUGUUUGUUGAUUAGAUUUAUAUGUUUAAAUGUGUAUUUGUGCUAACUGUGUAAUUAGAUAGGAACCUUUUCUAUAGUUCCGUUUGUUGUUGCUAAGAGGGUAUUUUUUGGCUGUCACACUCAGCAAGCUAAUUAAGAGAUGAGCCACGAGGUUUGCACGUCUACAGUAAGAAAGUUGUAAAAGAGUGCCUUUUUUUGGACUACCCCACGACGUAAGGAUUAAAGUUUUUAUUCCCUUUGAGUGAGGCCAAUGAGUUCUGACGGCAUUGUAUCGGCUGUGGUUGGACAUCAUUACAUGUUAAGGCAUGUCGAAGAAUCCUCCUGUCCGAAAUAAAUGUCAGUUUAAAAGCAAA